RNAcentral lists this long non-coding RNA (233 nucleotides) under Lathyrus oleraceus (garden pea). RNAcentral's name for it is "Pisum sativum (pea) long non-coding RNA (PSAT_LNC032573)". The record is from RNAcentral. Lineage: Eukaryota; Viridiplantae; Streptophyta; Magnoliopsida; Fabales; Fabaceae.
UUAUACAAGCCCAAUAUAAUGAUCAUAUGAUCCUCAUCCUAAUCUAAUCCUCCUCUCCUUGAGAAACCCUGGCUGGAAGAAAGUCAAUGAUUAGGGUUGACCUGAGGUCAAAACCCUAAUCCAAAGGAACUGGAGCAUGCACAAUGAAGCCCUGGAUGAUUAUAGAACCAUGAUGAUGGUAACAUAUCCUUGCAACCAACAUAAUGCUCAAGCUCUUUGAAGGAUCAGGAAAC